UAAAUUAAAACACAAAGUUAAUUAAAUAAUAAAAUUGAAAAAAAAAAUCAUAGAGGGUUUAAAAGCACACAAUCAGAUAUGUCUCCAAAGUCUUAUGCAAUAUAUUUAUACUACCCUUAAACGGACGCGAUAUUGUGGCAAUAUUUCAGUAACAUAAAUUAAUUUACUUCAAAAUCAUCAUUAUUCUUUGGAAACUGAGUUUUAAUUCACUUCUCCCGAAAUUACUGUUGUGUCCCUCCGUUUUUGGGUAGUUGAAUAGGAGGAUCGUAUAAACGAUUUUUGUUCUGAUUGGCUUCUGGGCUCCUCUAGAUCUAGCAUGCUUCCAGGCUCCCGAGCUUUUAGGCGUCUGGACGCUCACUAGCCCUACGCGCACUUGGGCAUCAUUCAGCUCUGCGAGCAUCCGGACAUCUGAGUACUCCCUUGCCCCAUGCAGGCCUGUCGAGUAUCCAGCCUUUUCUUGUACGUGGUCCUUACAAUACUCGACAGGUUAUUCCGCUAAAGUCCAACGGGUCAACAGUAAGAGAAUUCAACCAAAGCUGCUACCGCAUCCCUCUAUCUUGAGCGCUGGACUCCCUCGCAGCUUCUCAAAAUUCAAGCUCUUUCUUCACGCGCUCAGUUCGGUCUUAUGUCUGUCCACCGCUUGGCUAAAUCUGCUCCGAGUGAUUUCUGUCCUGGUUGAUUUGUAGGCUCUUCUAGCCCUAGCAUGCUUCCCUGAGAUUAAAAUUAUGAUAGACUCAUUCUAUAUUCUUUCUUUUUUAUUCACUAUAAAUUUUAGGUCACUUUAUUAUUUAAAAAAUUUAUUUAAAAUUCAUUAAUUUAAAAACAAUUUAGAAAGACAAGUCAUUUAAUUUUGGGUGAGUCUAAUAUACUCGACCUCAUAUAAAAAUGAGUUAUAUAUAUAUAUAGACAUUAAAUUAAAUAUUUUAUAUUAAAAGCAAAAUUUAAUUAUUCAUAUAUAAUGAAUGCAAAAUUUACAUGAAAACAUUCAAUUUAAUAGUGAAGUUCAUUUUCA
Molecule: long non-coding RNA, 1012 nt
Filed under: Manihot esculenta (cassava)
Lineage: Eukaryota; Viridiplantae; Streptophyta; Magnoliopsida; Malpighiales; Euphorbiaceae
Description: long non-coding RNA (MESC_LNC004350)
Source: RNAcentral